GUUCAUUUCCCACUGAAAGGUUGGUUUCCUUAUGCACCAACUUACAGAUAAAGCACUUGAGUCGGCAAAUGGACCUAUGGUGCAUGAUUUCAAUAGCUUCCUUACAGCUUUUCGUAGAACCUUUGACACAACUAAAAGGUCGAAGAAUGCUGCCAGGGCGUUAAUGAGAAUUAAAGAGGGAUCUAAGUCUGUUGUCGAUUAUGCUAUUCAGUUCCGUACCCUUGCUUCACAGGUAGAUUGGACCAACAAUGGACUGACUACUGCGCUCAUGG
Molecule: non-coding RNA, 272 nt
Organism: Pelobates cultripes (western spadefoot toad)
Lineage: Eukaryota; Metazoa; Chordata; Amphibia; Anura; Pelobatidae
Source: the annotation of a GenBank genome assembly